GUUGAGAUGGCAUAGUCCGGACACUGCAUUAGAUCUAAGCCCUUUUCACAGAGGUUCAAAUCCUCUUCUCAACU
Molecule: transfer RNA, 74 nt
Filed under: Morone americana (white perch)
Lineage: Eukaryota; Metazoa; Chordata; Actinopteri; Moronidae
Description: tRNA-Leu(UUR)
Rfam family: tRNA
About the family: Transfer RNA (tRNA) molecules are approximately 80 nucleotides in length. Their secondary structure includes four short double-helical elements and three loops (D, anti-codon, and T loops).
Source: RNAcentral